RNAcentral lists this ribosomal RNA (243 nucleotides) under uncultured bacterium. Its description in RNAcentral is "partial 16S ribosomal RNA". It matches the Rfam family "Bacterial small subunit ribosomal RNA", at positions 118 to 346 of the family's 1533-position model. The record is from RNAcentral.
UGGGUAACCUGCCUCAAAGAGGGGAAUAGCCUCCGAAAGGGAGAUUAAUACCGCAUAAUAUGUUUAGGUCGCAUGACUUUAACAUCAAAGGAUUUUCUUUUAGAAAUUCCACUCUGAGAUGGACCCCGCGGCGCAUUAGCUAGUUGAUGAGGUAACGGCUCACCAAGGCAACGAUGCGUAGCCGACCUGAGAGGGUGAUCGGCCACAUUGGAACUGAGACACGGUCCAGACUCCCGUACGGGG